This 497-nucleotide ribosomal RNA is filed under the name uncultured bacterium. Its description in RNAcentral is "partial 16S ribosomal RNA". It matches the Rfam family "Bacterial small subunit ribosomal RNA", at positions 28 to 507 of the family's 1533-position model. The record is from RNAcentral.
GAUGAACGCUGGCGGCGUGCCUAAUACAUGCAAGUCGAGCGAACAGACGAGGAGCUUGCUCCUCUGACGUUAGCGGCGGACGGGUGAGUAACACGUGGAUAACCUACCUAUAAGACUGGGAUAACUUCGGGAAACCGGAGCUAAUACCGGAUAACAUGUUGAACCGCAUGGUUCAACAGUGAAAGACGGUCUUGCUGUCACUUAUAGAUGGAUCCGCGCCGCAUUAGCUAGUUGGUAAGGUAACGGCUUACCAAGGCAACGAUGCGUAGCCGACCUGAGAGGGUGAUAGGCCACACUGGAAGUGAGACACGGUCCAGACUCCUACGGGAGGCAGCAGAAGGGAAUCUUCCGCAAUGGGCGAAAGCCUGACGGAGCAACGCCGCGUGAGUGAAGAAGGUCUUCGGAUCGUAAAACUCUGUUAUUAGGGAAGAACAAAUGUGUAAGUAACUAUGCACGUCUUGACGGUACCUAAUCAGAAAGCCACGGCUAACUACGUG